RNAcentral lists this ribosomal RNA (329 nucleotides) under Blastocystis sp. subtype 1. Its description in RNAcentral is "SSU rRNA". It matches the Rfam family "Eukaryotic small subunit ribosomal RNA", at positions 23 to 369 of the family's 1831-position model. Lineage: Eukaryota; Bigyra; Opalinata; Blastocystidae. The record is from RNAcentral.
GUCAUCCGCUCGUCUCAAAGAUUAAGCCAUGCAUGUGUAAGUGUAAAUUGUUAAGUUUGGAACUGCGAAUGGCUCAUUAUAUCAGUUAUAGUUUAUUUGGUGAAGUGUACUACUUGGAUAACGGUAGUAAUUCUAGGGCUAAUACAUGAGAAAGUCCUCUGGUGAGGUGUGUUUAUUAGAAUGAAAACCAUAUGCUUCGGCAUGAUAGUGAGUAAUAGUAACCUAUCGUAUCGCAUGCUUAAUGUAGCGAUGAGUCUUUCAAGUUUCUGCCCUAUCAGCUUUCGAUGGUAGUAUAUGGGCCUACCAUGGCAGUAACGGGUAACGAAGAA